RNAcentral lists this ribosomal RNA (492 nucleotides) under uncultured bacterium. RNAcentral describes it as "partial 16S ribosomal RNA". It matches the Rfam family "Bacterial small subunit ribosomal RNA", at positions 29 to 507 of the family's 1533-position model. The record is from RNAcentral.
AGUGAACGCUGGCGGUAGGCCUAACACAUGCAAGUCGAACGGCAGCACAGUAAGAGCUUGCUCUUACGGGUGGCGAGUGGCGGACGGGUGAGGAAUACAUCGGAAUCUACUUUUUCGUGGGGGAUAACGUAGGGAAACUUACGCUAAUACCGCAUACGACCUACGGGUGAAAGCAGGGGAUCUUCGGACCUUGCGCGAUUGAAUGAGCCGAUGUCGGAUUAGCUAGUUGGCGGGGUAAAGGCCCACCAAGGCGACGAUCCGUAGCUGGUCUGAGAGGAUGGUCAGCCACACUGGAACUGAGACACGGUCCAGACUCCUACGGGAGGCAGCAGUGGGGAAUAUUGGACAAUGGGCGCAAGCCUGAUCCAGCCAUACCGCGUGGGUGAAGAAGGCCUUCGGGUUGUAAAGCCCUUUUGUUGGGAAAGAAAAGCAGCAGGUUAAUACCCCGCUGUUCUGACGGUACCCAAAGAAUAAGCACCGACUAACUUCGUG